This 590-nucleotide ribosomal RNA is filed under the name uncultured Rhodocyclaceae bacterium. RNAcentral describes it as "bacterial SSU rRNA". It matches the Rfam family "Bacterial small subunit ribosomal RNA", at positions 46 to 629 of the family's 1533-position model. Lineage: Bacteria; Pseudomonadati; Pseudomonadota; Betaproteobacteria; Rhodocyclales; Rhodocyclaceae. The record is from RNAcentral.
GCCUUACACAUGCAAGUCGAACGGCAGCACGGGAGCUUGCUCCUGGUGGCGAGUGGCGAACGGGUGAGUAAUACAUCGGAACGUACCCUGAAGUGGGGGAUAACGUAGCGAAAGUUACGCUAAUACCGCAUAUUCUGUGAGCAGGAAAGAGGGGGAUCGCAAGACCUCUUGCUUUAGGAGCGGCCGAUGUCGGAUUAGCUGGUUGGUGAGGUAAAGGCUCACCAAGGCGACGAUCCGUAGCGGGUCUGAGAGGAUGAUCCGCCACACUGGGACUGAGACACGGCCCAGACUCCUACGGGAGGCAGCAGUGGGGAAUUUUGGACAAUGGGCGCAAGCCUGAUCCAGCCAUGCCGCGUGAGUGAAGAAGGCCUUCGGGUUGUAAAGCUCUUUCGGUGGGGAAGAAAUUGCUUCGGUUAAUACCUGGAGUAGAUGACGGUACCCGCACAAGAAGCACCGGCUAACUACGUGCCAGCAGCCGCGGUAAUACGUAGGGUGCGAGCGUUAAUCGGAAUUACUGGGCGUAAAGCGUGCGCAGGCGGUUGUAUAAGUCAGAUGUGAAAUCCCCGGGCUCAACCUGGGAACUGCAUUUG